This 253-nucleotide ribosomal RNA is filed under the name uncultured bacterium. RNAcentral's name for it is "partial 16S ribosomal RNA". It matches the Rfam family "Bacterial small subunit ribosomal RNA", at positions 524 to 776 of the family's 1533-position model. The record is from RNAcentral.
UACGAAGGGUGCAAACGUUGCUCGGAAUUAUUGGGCGUAAAGCGCACGUAGGCGGCUUUGCAAGUCGGAUGUGAAAGCCCUCGGCUCAACCAAGGAAGUGCAUCCGAAACUGCAGAGCUUGAGUACUUAAGAGGAUCGCGGAAUUCCCGGUGUAGAGGUGAAAUUCGUAGAUAUCUGGAGGAACACCGGUGGCGAAGGCGGCGUCCUGGACCAACACUGACACUGAGGAGCGAAAGCCAGGGGAGCAAACGGG